Molecule: transfer RNA, 74 nt
Filed under: Chitinophaga sp. MD30
Lineage: Bacteria; Pseudomonadati; Bacteroidota; Chitinophagia; Chitinophagales; Chitinophagaceae
Also listed under: 1 other name
Rfam family: tRNA
About the family: Transfer RNA (tRNA) molecules are approximately 80 nucleotides in length. Their secondary structure includes four short double-helical elements and three loops (D, anti-codon, and T loops).
Source: Rfam by way of RNAcentral
GGCGAGGUAGCUCAGGCGGUUAGAGCGCAGGAUUCAUAACCCUGAGGUCGCGAGUUCAACUCUCGCUCUCGCUA